Molecule: ribosomal RNA, 253 nt
Filed under: uncultured bacterium
Lineage: Bacteria
Description: partial 16S ribosomal RNA
Rfam family: Bacterial small subunit ribosomal RNA
Source: RNAcentral
UACGUAGGGUGCGAGCGUUGUCCGGAAUUAUUGGGCGUAAAGAGCUUGUAGGCGGUCUGUCGCGUCUGCUGUGAAAACCCGGGGCUCAACCCCGGACUUGCAGUGGGUACGGGCAGACUAGAGUGUGGUAGGGGAGACUGGAAUUCCUGGUGUAGCGGUGAAAUGCGCAGAUAUCAGGAGGAACACCGAUGGCGAAGGCAGGUCUCUGGGCCACUACUGACGCUGAGAAGCGAAAGCAUGGGGAGCGAACAGG